ACUUCCUCCUUGUGCCCCGAAGGCCAGCCCGGCACUCAGGCCAGGGCACUUGGACACCACGCUGCAGGAGGCUGGUCUCGCCCAGGCCUCUGUGGGAAGGGCCGCCAGGCUGAGUGGAGGGCCAGCCACCAGCUACGGUGUCUUCCUUCGCAGGUCUGUCCCCCCAGGCAGAAGGAUUCCAGCCCAGGGAUCCCCCAUCCCACCCUGACUGCAUCCUGAGAAGGGGGGACGCCACUUCGGGAAGGUUGUUGGGGCAGCACAGGCCCUGGGGCCCUGCUCUGUGACCUUGGGCGGCCCCCUCUGUCUCUCUAGGCCUGUAUGCACCACUGGCAAAGGGGGCAGGGCCCAAGUCUACUCUAAAAGCUCCCCUUUCUCUCCAGAAGCUUUGGAGUCUCCCAAAAUGCCUGCUGGGUCUCUGCAGGACUGGCACCUGUCACCGGAACCUGUCUGGGAGGGACGAGAACACGCUUUGCAAGAGGAAGCUCUGCCUCACAGAGCCCUGGGCUCACUCAGGGACCCUGGCCAGCAGCUGCUUCCUCUCCCCACAGCGGAGAGAGACCCAAGGGUCCCAGGGCGGAUGCUUCCCACCAGGCCAGCCCAGCGUGCAGGGUGGCCUCGUAAGUCCUGAUUGACAUAUGGACAGUGGUUCAGAGAGGUUACGCUACUUGCUCAAGGUCACCCAGCUCCCAGGCCCCUGCUGUCUUCCAGGCCACUGAGGUCCUAAGCGUCCUUCCAGGCGAGCCACUGCUCACAGCCUGUUCCUCAUGUUCUGCGGCAGGUUUGUGUAUCUACAUCUUUUCCAGUUCCCUGUCGUCCCCCUUCCUACACCUCGUCAUCCACUAUCCCUGUUUGUUUUCUCUGUUCCUUUCUAGUUCUCUACCUGCUCCUCUUAUUUUUAUUUGAGACAGGGUCUUUCUUUGUCACUGAGGCUGGAGUGCAGUGGCACAAUCCCAGCUCACUGGAGCCUCGACCUCCCAGGCUCAAGUGAUCCCCCGCCUCAGCCUCUUGAGUAGCUGGGACCACAGGCAUGCAUCACCACACCAGGCUAAUUUUUUAUUUUUUGUAGAGAUGGGGUCUCACUGUGUUGCCCAGGCUGGUCUUGCACUCCUGGGCUCAAGAGAUCCUCCCACCUUGGUCUCCCAAAGUGCUGGGAUGCCAGGUGUGCACCGCCAUCCUCGGCCUUACUCUUCUCUUCCUCUCUCAGCCCCUCUGCCUCACUAUCCCUCUUUCUGUGCCCUCCCCCACACAGCCCCCCACACUUCUUCUUAGUCUCAUCUUCAGCUUCCCAUACGAGGCCAUCCUCAUGAAAUCAGGCACUGGGAGGUCCCUGGGGACUGACAAGUGCCAGCUGUCCCUUGCUGUCUCUCUGCCCCAUGGCUGCAGCAGGGAGGGUGGGCAAAGGGCAGAGGUGACAGUGGCCAAACCUGAAACUGAGGCCCAGCUCUGGUUGGGAAAGAAACAAGGAAACAAAAUAACUUGGGGACAGAGGGCGUGGGGUCAUCAGAGCGGGCAAAGGCUGCCCAGGAGUUGUAAAUCCGAGCCGCUCCCGGCUUUAUGAGGCCGAUUUGGGGUUGAGCCUGGACUUUGCCCAGGAAGGAGUGCUGGCAGCACACGGGGCGCCAGGUGUGGGCCCCGGAUGAUAAGAAGCCUCGGUGAAAAGACCAUGGACCUGGGGCCACGAAGACUGGGGAGCCCAGGUGAGUGGGCAUGGGACACUCUCCAGAGCCCUGCCGAAGGCGGACGCCAGGCAGGGCCCCGGUCUCCAAUUGGUUCCCGCCCCC
This 1781-nucleotide long non-coding RNA is filed under the name Homo sapiens (human). RNAcentral's name for it is "non-protein coding MIR194-2HG:1". The record is from RNAcentral. Lineage: Eukaryota; Metazoa; Chordata; Mammalia; Primates; Hominidae.